UGAGGAAUAUUGGGCAAUGGAGGCAACUCUGACCCAGCCAUGCCGCGUGAGUGAAGAAGGUUUUCGGAUUGUAAAGCUCUUUCGGACGUGAAGAUGAUGACGGUAGCGUCUAAAGAAGCCCCGGCUAACUUCGUGCCAGCAGCCGCGGUAAUACGAAGGGGCGAGCGUUGUUCGGAAUUACUGGGCGUAAAGGGUGUGUAGGCGGCCAUAUAAGAUAGCGGUGAAAUCCCGGGGCUCAACCUCGGAAUUGCCAUUAUUACUAUGUGGCUAGAAUGACAGAGAGGAUAUUGGAAUACCCAGUGUAGAGGUGAAAUUCGUAGAUAUUGGGUAGAACACCGGUGGCGAAGGCGAGUAUCUGGCUGUAAAUUGACGCUGAGGCACGAAAGCAUGGGGAUCAAACAGGAUUAGAUACCCUGGUAGU
Molecule: ribosomal RNA, 421 nt
Filed under: uncultured Insolitispirillum sp.
Lineage: Bacteria; Pseudomonadati; Pseudomonadota; Alphaproteobacteria; Rhodospirillales; Novispirillaceae
Description: bacterial SSU rRNA
Rfam family: Bacterial small subunit ribosomal RNA
Source: RNAcentral